Molecule: unclassified non-coding RNA, 200 nt
Filed under: Chaetosphaeria sp.
Lineage: Eukaryota; Fungi; Ascomycota; Sordariomycetes; Chaetosphaeriales; Chaetosphaeriaceae
Description: partial internal transcribed spacer 2
Source: RNAcentral
UUAAGUUCAGCGGGUAUUCCUACCUGAUCCGAGGUCAACCUUGCAGUGGAGGGUUUAACGGCUGGAGCGAGCCAGGAGCCCUAAGCGAGGUAAGCUACUACGCUCGGGUCCGGGCCACGCCCGCCGCUGGAUUUGGGGGCCCACGGCGUGGUGCCCCAACACUAGGCAGAGCCUAAGGGUUGAAAUGACGCUCGAACAGG